This 253-nucleotide ribosomal RNA is filed under the name uncultured bacterium. RNAcentral's name for it is "partial 16S ribosomal RNA". It matches the Rfam family "Bacterial small subunit ribosomal RNA", at positions 524 to 776 of the family's 1533-position model. The record is from RNAcentral.
UACAGAGGUCCCAAGCGUUGUUCGGAUUCACUGGGCGUAAAGGGUGCGUAGGUGGCAGGGUAAGUUUGAUGUGAAAUCUCCGAGCUUAACUCGGAAACUGCAUUGAAUACUAUCCUGCUCGAGGGUUGGAAGGGGGACUGGAAUUCUCGGUGUAGCAGUGAAAUGCGUAGAUAUCGAGAGGAACACCAGUGGCGAAGGCGAGUCCCUGGACAACACCUGACACUGAGGCACGAAAGCUAGGGGGGCAAACAGG